AUUGAACGCUGGCGGCAGGCCUAACACAUGCAAGUCGAACGAGUGGCGGACGGGUGAGUAAUGUCUGGGAAACUGCUUGAUGGAUGGGGAUAACUCCUGGAACCGGUAGCUAAUACCGCAUACCUUCGGAUUUUCCCAGAUGGGAUUAGCUAGUAGGUGGGGUAAAGGCUCACCUAGGCGACGAUCCCUAGCUGGUCUGAGAGCGUGACCAGCCACACUGGAACUGAGACACGGUCCAGACUCCUACGGGAGGCAGCAGUGGGGAAUAUUGCACAAUGGGCGCAAGCCUGAUGCAGCCAUGCCGCGUGUAUGAAGAAGGUCUUCGGGUUGUAAAGUACUUUCAGCAGGGAGGCGUUACCCGCAGAAGAAGCACCGGCUAACUCCGUGCCAGCAGCCGCGGUAAUUC
RNAcentral lists this ribosomal RNA (406 nucleotides) under uncultured bacterium. RNAcentral's name for it is "partial 16S ribosomal RNA". It matches the Rfam family "Bacterial small subunit ribosomal RNA", at positions 30 to 526 of the family's 1533-position model. The record is from RNAcentral.